AAUGAACGUUGGCGGCGUGGAUUAGGCAUGCAAGUCGCGCGAGAAGUUUCCUUCGGGAGACGGACAGCGGCGGAAGGGAGAGGAAUAAGUAGAAAUCUGCCCUCGGGACGGGGAUAGCGGCGGGAAACUGCCGGUAAUACCCGAUAACAUCUUUGGAUCAAAUGGUGUGAUUCCGCCUGAGGAUGAGUCUACUUCCUAUUAGCUAGUUGGUGUGGUAAUGGCUCACCAAGACAACGACGGGUAGCGGGUGUGAGAGCACGAUCCGCCUCACUGGGACUGAGACACUGCCCAGACACCUACGGGUGGCUGCAGUCGAGAAUCUUCGGCAAUGGGGGAAACCCUGACCGAGCGACGCCGCGUGCGGGAUGAAGGCCCUCGGGUUGUAAACCGCUGUCGUAAGGGACAAAGUCUAAGAGGGUACUCCCUUUUAGUUGAGUGAUCUUAGGAGAAGACGGGCUAAGUCGUGCCAGCAGCCGCGGUAAAGUCUGU
This 489-nucleotide ribosomal RNA is filed under the name uncultured bacterium. RNAcentral's name for it is "bacterial SSU rRNA". It matches the Rfam family "Bacterial small subunit ribosomal RNA", at positions 29 to 534 of the family's 1533-position model. The record is from RNAcentral.